UUGAUUCAUUUUUGCUUAUGCCACUCAGAAUACGUAUAAAAGACAAGAGUUUGGGUCUCCGGCGGGCGCCUGGUUCCGGGCACAGAGGCACCGGGGCAGUCCCGCCGAAGCAACGAUAGGUAAGGUUCACAGGGGUUUGGGAGUUGUAUAACUCGGUAAUGAUCCCUCCGCUGGUUCACCAACGGAGA
Molecule: unclassified non-coding RNA, 188 nt
Filed under: uncultured fungus
Lineage: Eukaryota; Fungi
Description: sequence contains ITS1
Source: RNAcentral